RNAcentral lists this long non-coding RNA (537 nucleotides) under Elaeis guineensis (African oil palm). RNAcentral's name for it is "long non-coding RNA (EGUI_LNC071213)". Lineage: Eukaryota; Viridiplantae; Streptophyta; Magnoliopsida; Arecales; Arecaceae. The record is from RNAcentral.
UGGCUGCGCACCGGUUGGGAAGGACCUUGGCCAACUUUCGUGUGAAUCACCAUUGGAGGACUUUUAACUUGAAAUCUUAUGGAGAACACCAAUAUGCCACUUUUUUAUUUUGAUUAACAUAUAAUAUUCUAUCUCUUUGCAUGCUUGAAUUUGCUUUGAUCAUGUUCGGCAAGGUGAUUCUAGGAUUUUGGGUUCGGCUCGAUAGUUUUAUUUGAUAAAGCUAUUGAUUUGAGUAUUUUAAAAAAUUUAAAAAAUUAUUUUUCACUGCAUAGCUAGAACCCAACAUUCCCUAAGGUCUCUAGGCAAUUCAACCAGUAGCCCCACACCUCCCUUGAAGAGCCCAUGCCCCCUUUUUCUCUUCUUCCUCUCUUCUCCCUUGGAGAUCAAAUGCCCAAGCUUGGGCAUCCUCCAUCUUCAAUGCCCAAAGGUCUUUGUGCGUCCCCUAUUACUUACUGAUUUUUAGUCUCUGGUUGCUUUAUAAUCUAGGAAAGACAAGCGAGAGAAGAGAAGAAGAAGAUCAAGAAAAUGAUUAAAGAG